AGGGUUCGAUUCUGGCUCAGGAUGAACGCUAGCUACAGGCUUAACACAUGCAAGUCGAGGGGCAGCAUGUUGGUUGCUUGCAACCAAUGAUGGCGACCGGCGCACGGGUGAGUAACGCGUAUCCAACCUUCCCCUUAGUAGGGCAUAGCCCGUAGAAAUGCGGAUUAAUACCCUAUGUUGUAUAUUGAGGACAUCUGAUUUAUACCAAAGGUUCACCGCUAAGGGAUGGGGAUGCGUCUGAUUAGGUAGUCGGCGGGGUAACGGCCCACCGAGCCUACGAUCAGUAGGGGUUCUGAGAGGAAGGUCCCCCACAUUGGAACUGAGACACGGUCCAAACUCCUACGGGAGGCAGCAGUGAGGAAUAUUGGUCAAUGGACGAGAGUCUGAACCAGCCAAAGUAGCGUGCAGGAUGACGGCCCUAUGGGUUGUAAACUGCUUUUAUACGGGGAUAAAGUGACCCACGUGUGGGUUUUUGUAGGUACCGUAUGAAUAAGGACCGGCUAAUUCCGUGCCAGCCGCUGC
This 522-nucleotide ribosomal RNA is filed under the name uncultured bacterium. RNAcentral's name for it is "bacterial SSU rRNA". It matches the Rfam family "Bacterial small subunit ribosomal RNA", at positions 8 to 518 of the family's 1533-position model. The record is from RNAcentral.